ACACGACUACAUUAGAUACCCCGGUAGUCCUAGCCGUAAACGAUACUCGCUAGGUGUCGGCCACGGUGCGACCGUUGUCGGUGCCGUAGGGAAGCCGUGAAGCGAGCCACCUGGGAAGUACGGCCGCAAGGCUGAAACUUAAAGGGAUUGGCGGGGGAGCACAACAACGGGUGGAGCUUGCGGUUUAAUUGGAUUCAACGCCGGAAAUCUUACCGGGACCGACAGCAACAUGAAGGCCAAGCUGAAGACUUUGCCGGAUUAGCUG
This 265-nucleotide ribosomal RNA is filed under the name uncultured archaeon. RNAcentral describes it as "partial 16S ribosomal RNA". It matches the Rfam family "Archaeal small subunit ribosomal RNA", at positions 717 to 982 of the family's 1478-position model. The record is from RNAcentral.